This 159-nucleotide ribosomal RNA is filed under the name Triticum aestivum (bread wheat). Its description in RNAcentral is "partial small subunit ribosomal RNA". The record is from RNAcentral. Lineage: Eukaryota; Viridiplantae; Streptophyta; Magnoliopsida; Poales; Poaceae.
AUUGGCUUUUCUUGGAAGAUUGGUAAUGUCAAGAGGGCUAGAUUCUGGGAGGAUCAUUGGUUUGGCAAUGCUACUUUGGCUACCCAGUAUUGGGAUGUUUAUAACCUAGCUAAUGAGCAUAAUGCCACCAUAGAUAAAAUCUGGGAUGGCUAUACCUUG